This 250-nucleotide ribosomal RNA is filed under the name uncultured bacterium. Its description in RNAcentral is "partial 16S ribosomal RNA". It matches the Rfam family "Bacterial small subunit ribosomal RNA", at positions 524 to 773 of the family's 1533-position model. The record is from RNAcentral.
UACGUAGGUGGCAAGCGUUGUCCGGAUUUAUUGGGUUUAAAGGGUGCGUAGGCGGCCUUAUAAGUCAGUGCUGAAAUAUCCCAGCUUAACUGGGAGGGUGGCAUUGAUACUGUAGGGCUUGAGUCGAGUUGAGGUUGGCGGAAUUGACGGUGUAGCGGUGAAAUGCUUAGAUAUCGUCAAGAACACCGAUAGUGAAGACAGCUAACUAAGCUCAAACUGACGCUGAGGCACGAAAGUGUGGGGAUCAAAC